UUAAACAGAGAGGGGGGGGGAGAGAGAGGUGUUUAGCGAAUCACGCCUUUUGUCUUCUAUAUCCGAUGGCGACGUGUAGCGACGAAGAAACCAGAAACCUAGUCCGGUCGCCACACCCAUCGUUGCCCUCCUCGCACCUCUUAUGCCCCUGCCGCCGUGCCGGCCUCCUCCUCGAAGAAGCGCUUCCCUGUCGCCGAGGCGUCGGCCCUCGAUUCCGGAGUGGAAUCCAGUGAUUAGCGGCGAUGGUCGAGAGGAGGAGGAGGUGAGGCCGGUGGUGUUGAAUGACAGAGAGUAUGCGGAUGGGAUCGGGAGAAUCGAGGAUCAGGGAAUCAGAGGUGGUGUUCCGGCCAAGUUCUUGUACCGGGAAUCGGCGCCGGCGUACUGGAGGGCCAAGGAGAAAAGAACAUGCUUUGUUGCUGUUCUAUGAUUUUUGCAGCUAUUUGUUGCUGUUCCAUCCCACAUAUUCAAGUUUUGGACAUUUCUGGAAAUAAUGUUUUAGCUUCUAUCCUUCUACAUCAAGGUUGAGGGUUGGCAUAUGGCAGAAGGUACCAUCUUCUUACUCUUGUAAAACAAUGACAAAUGAAAACUUGUUUAAUAUAAGGAUGGUCAGGUUGGUUGUACCAAGACAUGGCUAGGUCAAGUUUUGGUCUAUGUUGGCUGGCACAGGUGGCAUGCCAGUUGGCACGGCAUGGUAUGUUAUGCACCAUGUAUAACAGUCCUUGGUGGGUUUAGUCUUGGUUUUGAAGUGUUUCCUGUGAUGACAUAUACCACACGAGAUUAAUCUGACAUGAUGCAAUGGUGCAUGCCAAAUACCUGUGCCCUUAUAACCCAAGUACAUGGCCAUUCGGCUGGCAUGGGCUCCACAUGGAUUGGCACAAUCAGUACCAUCACACCACCUAGCCCAUGAAGUUCUUGUGCAUCAUGAGCAUGGGACCCUGCAUUUGCAACACAGCUAAUAUGUUUUCUACUCUGCAUCUUCAUUCUAACACUUAUGUGUAUUAUAUAGAUCCAUGCAGCAUUGGUAGUACUGCCUUGCGUAUGUUGAUAAUAUAUGAUUGUGGCAGGUUGAGAGAGAGCAGCAGAUUUUGAAGACCUCGAAGCCUGAUAGUGAUCCACUGCUUUGCACUUUCUAUUUGUGCAUUCUUUAUCAUUCCUUUCUUGCUUUCUUUUCUUUUUUAUUUCAGGGUGAAAAAACAUAAAUGAUGAAUUAGAUUAGCUGUAUAUGGGGGCAUUUGGUUGCCUAUAACCAUAAAUGACAACAUGUAGUGAUUAUAAGCAAAAAACAAAUACCUAUAGGUUGUAGUUGCAACUGCAAUCCAAUCCAGAAGUGUGACAUGUGACGUUUUAGAUUGUGAGUUUAUUUGCAGUAUGUAAGGGUUCAAUUAUAUGUACACGUGGUACAAAUGGCUUAAUUGCAAGUAAUCAAAUAUUUGUGAGUAAGAUGCUUGUCGCGAAAGGACUUACAAACAGACUAAUUGCAGGCAACCAAAUUUCUCCACUUUUUAUGCUACUUCGGCCCAGUACGGACUGUUCUUCAAGUUCCUUUUUUUAUGAUGUGAUAGUAGUGUAUAAAUCCUUUGUUGGACUUGGAGGUUACAUGAAUCCUUCUCUUUUUCUAUAGAAAGGCAUCUAUUGAAUUGCCUCUUUUGCCUGAUCAAAGAUGUGUUUCUUUUUCCUAUUGCUUGGAUAAGGAUACAUUUCCCCUAGAUGCUACAUUACCCUUUAUUUUGUGGCAAAUUCCCCUGGCCAUACUGACAAAAUGCUUCCAGGAUAAAUUCAGAAAUUCCAUGGUAUGUUUACUUUCAUUGUUCACAUCAACUAUUUCUGCUUUGAGGAAACGGCAUUUUCUCCAUCUUUGUGCCCUUUAUAAUAACAGACGAAACAUAAAUCUGAUGGCUUUCACCUUUAUUGAAAU
Molecule: RNA transcript, 1915 nt
Organism: Musa acuminata AAA Group (dessert banana)
Lineage: Eukaryota; Viridiplantae; Streptophyta; Magnoliopsida; Zingiberales; Musaceae
Exons: 3
Source: RefSeq, a predicted model, not a curated record